Pelobates cultripes (western spadefoot toad) is the source of this 311-nucleotide non-coding RNA. Lineage: Eukaryota; Metazoa; Chordata; Amphibia; Anura; Pelobatidae. The record is from the annotation of a GenBank genome assembly.
GCCAGAGAAAGAAACAAAAAUGCAAAAUAAACAGGAAAAGCGUGUCCAGUACCUUAUUCUCAGCCCAAGCUAUAAAAAAGAUGGCUGAAAUAAAAAUGAGAAAAUACUAAGUGAUUUUCAAGAUGAGACAUUAGAAGACACCAUACCCAUUUUAGAAAAAUCAUGGGAUAUAGAACAACAAACAGUUACACCUGACCUCUUGAAAUCCUGAUUAGAAACUUUUUUUUCGCACGAAUAAAGUGUGAAAUAAAAAACUUAAGAAAGCAAAGAAGAAAUUACAUUAUUAGCUAAAGAUGUACGAAAUAUUGAAG